RNAcentral lists this long non-coding RNA (546 nucleotides) under Equus caballus (horse). RNAcentral describes it as "lncRNA (ENSECAG00000059045.1)". The record is from RNAcentral. Lineage: Eukaryota; Metazoa; Chordata; Mammalia; Perissodactyla; Equidae.
CGCUUGGCAAGCCACGCUGUGUUAGUUGUUGUCCAGCAUCUCCUGAUAUGGUCACAGGGGGGACUGUUUGACGCCAGAGUGGAGACGGCCGGGCAGCCACUUGGGCCUUGGAAGCAAAGUCAAAAAACCAGGCAUGGAGUUUAUAGUGAGGACCUGUAGGACGUGGCUUCCUGGGAUGUGCGGGCUGACGGGGCCAGCUGUGACUGAGUGCACAAUUUAAAAGAAGCAUUUCUGUCUCAUUCAUACCAGUUAUUGUGUUUCAGUCUUGCAGUUACUGUCUUUCCACAUGUCUCCAUGUGUAAGAAUUUUUCCAGGUUGGACCCUUGGAAGUAGACUUCCUGACUCAGAAAAUACCUACUCUUUUUGACAAAACCCCACCUAUAGUUAAAUUCAAUUACCUAGCUACUCUGCACAGCACCCACGCAACUGAAUAUGGCUGGAGAAAACACAAGCUUGCUGAACACGAAUUUUAAUGACUACAAAUCCCAGAUUCAGUUCUUGCACCAUCAUGUUCCCUUUCUUCCUGGAAGCCGUGAUGGAUCCAAG